GAUUUCAGAAGAUAACCUUCAUCACAAUCCUCAUCCGAUCUAAUUGUAAUAUUCGGAAGAUACUAAUAUUACAUUUGUCGCUUUACGUUGGAAGAAUCUAACCUAAAAAUUGGAUUUUGUGGUUCGAUCGACACUUGAUCGCAGUGAUGCUCAGAUUGCAAUCGGAAGCACGCAUGCUGAUAGUUGCAUCAAACUGAGAGUCCAAGUCUUCCGAAAGGAAUUGUAGCCAUCGAUGACAACUAAUAUAUCAACGUGGAG
This 258-nucleotide long non-coding RNA is filed under the name Elaeis guineensis (African oil palm). Its description in RNAcentral is "long non-coding RNA (EGUI_LNC004112)". The record is from RNAcentral. Lineage: Eukaryota; Viridiplantae; Streptophyta; Magnoliopsida; Arecales; Arecaceae.